UGUUGCCCUCCCUGCUUUCCAGCCAGAGGCAUUUGCUCCAAGGCUCAGCCUGUGGCCCACUUACUGCAUCCACCCAGGAGCCUGACUCCUCGGAGAGGAAGGAGGGGGACACCUUGAUUGAUCUGAAGAAGGAAAUGAGCCUGAAAGGUGUCUUCAGUAAUAUGAAACUCAGUCUCCUGUCAAAGCCCACUGAUUGACUC
Molecule: long non-coding RNA, 200 nt
Filed under: Fukomys damarensis (Damara mole-rat)
Lineage: Eukaryota; Metazoa; Chordata; Mammalia; Rodentia; Bathyergidae
Description: lncRNA (ENSFDAG00000032409.1)
Source: RNAcentral